RNAcentral lists this ribosomal RNA (433 nucleotides) under uncultured bacterium. Its description in RNAcentral is "partial 16S ribosomal RNA". It matches the Rfam family "Bacterial small subunit ribosomal RNA", at positions 29 to 507 of the family's 1533-position model. The record is from RNAcentral.
AACGAACGCUGGCGGCAUGCCUAACACAUGCAAGUCGAACGAAACUUUCGGGUCUCGUGGCGCACGGGUGCGUAACGAGUGGGAACCUGCCCUUAGGUUCGGAAUAACUACCCGCAAGGGGUGCAAAAACCGGAUAAUGUCUUCGGACCAAAGAUUUAUUGCCUUUGGUUGGGCGCGCGCUGGAUUAGCUAGUUGGUAGGGUAAAAGCCUACCAAGGCGACGAUCCAUAGCUGGUGUGAGAGGAUGAUCAGACACACUGGGACUGAGACACGGUACAGACUCCUCCACGAGGCAGGAGUGGGGAAUAUAGCACAAUGGGCGAAAGCCUGAUCCAGCAAUGCCGCGUAAGUGAUGAAGUCAUUAGGGUUGUAAAGCUAUUUUACCCGGGAUGAUAUUGACAGUACCGAGACAAAAAGCCCCGGCUAACUCCGUG